AGGAUGAACGCUGGCGGCGUGCCUAACACAUGCAAGUCGAACGUCCUGUCUCGCAAGAGGCAGGGAGUGGCGGACGGGUGAGUACCACGUGGGUUAUCUACCGUGAGGUGAGGAAUACCGGCGAGAAAUCGCCGACAAGACCGCAUAGCCUCGGUGCAAGCCGAGGAAAGCUUUCUCGAGAGAGGGAGCGCCACACGAGGAGCCUGCGCCCGAUUAGCUAGCUGGUGGAGUAACGGUUCACCAGGGCGACGAUCGGUAGCUGGUCUGAGAGGACGAUCAGCCACACUGGGAUUGAGAACGGCCCAGACUCCUACGGGGGCAGCAGUGAGGAAUUUUCGUCAAUGGGGGCAACCCUGAACGAGCAACGCCGCGUGCAGGAAGAAGGUUUUCGGAUCGUAAACUGCUUUUCUCGGGGAAGAGAACGGACGGUACCCGAGGAAUCAGCCCCGGCUAACUACGUGCCAGCAGCCGCGGUAA
RNAcentral lists this ribosomal RNA (477 nucleotides) under uncultured bacterium. Its description in RNAcentral is "SSU rRNA". It matches the Rfam family "Bacterial small subunit ribosomal RNA", at positions 26 to 523 of the family's 1533-position model. The record is from RNAcentral.